Long non-coding RNA from Setaria italica (foxtail millet), 558 nucleotides. RefSeq lists it as uncharacterized. The transcript is spliced from 3 exons. The record is from RefSeq and is a predicted model, not a curated record. NCBI's taxonomy places the organism in Eukaryota, Viridiplantae, Streptophyta, Magnoliopsida, Poales, Poaceae.
CUAUGUGAUUUAUAAAGUUCAAGUUUCUUGCACAUUUAUCAUGUGAGGUCUAUGGUAGGUCAAGUACUACCCAUGUUUUCAAGUAUUUUUUUUCUAUCCAAGGGUUCCUGAUAGAUUUCUUCAUAUGCCAUUAUGUGAGGCUAUGUAUGAGACAGUGUGUUGGUUUAUAGAUGCAACAUGCAAGUGAAUCGUGUUGGUUUUGAAGCUGCAGCUUUGGUUAGCAGUUAGAAAAAAUGUGAUCUUCUAAAUUCUGUUGGGUUAUACUAGCAGUGAACAGCCCAUAUGUGGUUGGGGGCAACCAUUACGGCAUCGUCGUCUCCAUCAAGGCAGCGGAUGCUUGGACAUGGAGCUGGUCAAGUGUGAUUCUUGUGAUUCUUCUACGGCUCUACGCUUUGUCAUCCAUGUGAUUCUGUUUAGUGGAACCAUGUCUCGUUACAUUACAUCUGAUAUUAUUUCUUUGUCGGAUCUGGAGCACUCUUGAAGAUCAUUUUAAUUAAUUCCAAAGGAUUAUGACAUUGGUGUGAGCAAAAGGAUCAAUACAAUAGUUGCUUUGCUGAA